RNAcentral lists this ribosomal RNA (463 nucleotides) under Divariscintilla toyohiwakensis. RNAcentral describes it as "partial 16S rRNA". It matches the Rfam family "Bacterial large subunit ribosomal RNA", at positions 1824 to 2597 of the family's 2925-position model. Lineage: Eukaryota; Metazoa; Mollusca; Bivalvia; Galeommatida; Galeommatidae. The record is from RNAcentral.
CGCCCCUAGGUUAUUAGGAUUGGGGGUUGGGCCUGCCCGGUGAUAUUUAAACGGCCGCAGUUGAUAGCUGUGCUAAGGUAGCGUAAUAAGUUGUCCUUUAAAUGAGGAAAGGUAUGAAUGGUUUGACGUAGGGGUUUCUGUCUCUGUAGGAUUGGAAGAAGUUUUCUUCUUGGUGAAAAGUCCAAGAAAAAAUUAAAAGACGAGAAGACCCUUUUGAGCUUAACUUACUAAUGGAAUAGUCGAUUAGGAAAAUUUGGUUGGGGCAACUAAGGAGCAAAAGGAGCCUCCUUAAAGUUAUGAGGAUCCAGAAAUUUUGAAUAAAGAAAAAGCUACCAUAGGGAUAACAGCGUUAUCUUUCCUGAGAGAACAAAUUGAAGGAAAGGUUUGCGACCUCGAUGUUGAAUUAAAGUUUCCGUUUGGCGCAGAAGCCUUUAUGGUAAGACUGUUCGUCUUUUAAAGCUUU